UGAGUAACCUGCCCUUAACUCUGGGAUAAGCCUGGGAAACUGGGUCUAAUACCGGAUAUGACUCCUCAUCGCAUGGUGGGGGGUGGAAAGCUUUAUUGUGGUUUUGGAUGGACUCGCGGCCUAUCAGCUAGUUGGUGAGGUAACGGCUCACCAAGGCGACGACGGGUAGCUGGUCUGAGAGGAUGGCCAGCCACAUUGGGACUGAGUCACGGCCCAGACUCCUACGGGAGGNAG
RNAcentral lists this ribosomal RNA (234 nucleotides) under uncultured bacterium. RNAcentral describes it as "partial 16S ribosomal RNA". It matches the Rfam family "Bacterial small subunit ribosomal RNA", at positions 118 to 351 of the family's 1533-position model. The record is from RNAcentral.